GGUGCUUGCAUCAUGAUUUACAUUUGAGUGAGUGGCGAACUGGUGAGUAACACGUGGGAAACCUGCCCAGAAGCGGGGGAUAACACCUGGAAACAGAUGCUAAUACCGCAUAACAACUUGGACCGCAUGGUCCGAGUUUGAAAGAUGGCUUCGGCUAUCACUUUUGGAUGGUCCCGCGGCGUAUUAGCUAGAUGGUGGGGUAACGGCUCACCAUGGCAAUGAUACGUAGCCGACCUGAGAGGGUAAUCGGCCACAUUGGGACUGAGACACGGCCCAAACUCCUACGGGAGGCAGCAGUAGGGAAUCUUCCACAAUGGACGAAAGUCUGAUGGAGCAACGCCGCGUGAGUGAAGAAGGGUUUCGGCUCGUAAAACUCUGUUGUUAAAGAAGAACAUAUCUGAGAGUAACUGUUCAGGUAUUGACGGUAUUUAACCAGAAAGCCACGGCUAACUACGUGCCAGCAGCCGCGGUAAUACGUAGGUGGCAAGCGUUGUCCGGAUUUAUUGGGCGUAAAGCGAGCGCAGGCGGUUUUUUAAGUCUGAUGUGAAAGCCUUCGGCUCAACCGAAGAAGUGCAUCGGAAACUGGGAAACUUGAGUGCAGAAGAGGACAGUGGAACUCCAUGUGUAGCGGUGAAAUGCGUAGAUAUAUGGAAGAACACCAGUGGCGAAGGCGGCUGUCUGGUCUGUAACUGACGCUGAGGCUCGAAAGUAUGGGUAGCAAACAGGAUUAGAUACCCUGGUAGUCCAUACCGUAAACGAUGAAUGCUAAGUGUUGGAGGGUUUCCGCCCUUCAGUGCUGCAGCUAACGCAUUAAGCAUUCCGCCUGGGGAGUACGGCCGCAAGGCUGAAACUCAAAGGAAUUGACGGGGGCCCGCACAAGCGGUGGAGCAUGUGGUUUAAUUCGAAGCUACGCGAAGAACCUUACCAGGUCUUGACAUACUAUGCAAAUCUAAGAGAUUAGACGUUCCCUUCGGGGACAUGGAUACAGGUGGUGCAUGGUUGUCGUCAGCUCCUGUCCUGAGAAGUUUGGGUUAAGUCCCCCAACCAAGC
This 1050-nucleotide ribosomal RNA is filed under the name Lactiplantibacillus plantarum. RNAcentral describes it as "bacterial SSU rRNA". It matches the Rfam family "Bacterial small subunit ribosomal RNA", at positions 64 to 1097 of the family's 1533-position model. Lineage: Bacteria; Bacillati; Bacillota; Bacilli; Lactobacillales; Lactobacillaceae. The record is from RNAcentral.